GCCGGUUACCGCCCCUGUGCAGCUGCUGCAGGACAGACCGCCUGGCUUGGCCACAGCCACAGGGACAUUUGGCCCUGCAUCCGAGAUGUGGGGAGUGUGGGCUGGCUCGGGAGUUGCCUGGAGGCUGCUGCCUGCACGCAGAAGGCGGCUGCAGCUCGGGUGCCCAGGCGAGCUGGAGGUGCGUGGCCUGGUUGGCCUUGGGAUCUAC
This 208-nucleotide long non-coding RNA is filed under the name Homo sapiens (human). Its description in RNAcentral is "non-protein coding lnc-UTY-14:2". The record is from RNAcentral. Lineage: Eukaryota; Metazoa; Chordata; Mammalia; Primates; Hominidae.